AGCGAACGCUGGCGGCAUGCUUAACACAUGCAAGUCGCACGGUCAGCAAUGGCAGUGGCGGACGGGUGAGUAACGCGUAGGAAUUUAUCGAUGGGUGGGGGACAACUGCGGGAAACUGCAGCUAAUACCGCAUGACGCCUGAGGGCCAAAGCAGUAAUGCGCCUAUUGAGGAGCCUGCGUCUGAUUAGCUUGUUGGUGGGGUAACGGCUUACCAAGGCGACGAUCAGUAGCUGGUCUGAGAGGAUGAUCAGCCACAUUGGGACUGAGACACGGCCCAAACUCCUACGGGAGGCAGCAGUGGGGAAUAUUGGACAAUGGGCGCAAGCCUGAUCCAGCAAUGCCGCGUGUGUGAAGAAGGUCUUCGGAUUGUAAAGCACUUUUGGCAGGGACGAUGAUGACGGUACCUGCAGAAUAAGCCCCGGCUAACUUCGUGCCAGCAGCCGCGGUAAUACGAAGGGGGCUAGCGUUGCUCGGAAUGACUGGGCGUAAAGGGCGCGUAGGCGGCUUGCACAGUCAGAUGUGAAAUUCCUGGGCUCAACCUGGGGACUGCAUUUGAUACGUGUG
Molecule: ribosomal RNA, 564 nt
Filed under: uncultured bacterium
Lineage: Bacteria
Description: bacterial SSU rRNA
Rfam family: Bacterial small subunit ribosomal RNA
Source: RNAcentral